CGGAAAAGAAGCCGAGGAAGAUUCUGUCACUGGUAUAUUACUUGGUAUAGGCAUUGCAGUGGUAUUUUUGCUUGUCAUUUGUUAUGUUGUUUGGAGAUGUAAACGUAAGCAAAAAGGUAAUGAAAAAGCAGAGACGUAUAUAAGUAUCGCAAAAAUCAAAAAUGGACCAAUGGGGAUAGAGCAAUGAGCUUUACCGGGAAAAAUAAAUACAUUUAACAAUGGUAAAAUAAGUCUGCUAUGCAGAAAGUAUUUGAGCAGAGCAAUUGAAGACAGACAUCUUAAAAAAAGAGGUGGGAUGAGGUACCAAAGACAAUAAAAGAUACCAGUGAAUCUGCUCUACUAAUUGGCAUCAAAUCUUGCCUAAAAUAAGCUAUUGUGAAUGGAAUUAUCCUUGAUGCAUUAAUCAAUUUAUCAUACAGGUUAUGCAAGUAAAUUGCUGUAUAUUAAAGGGAAUUUGGCGUAAGAAAAAUCCGUUAUCACUUAGUUAAUUAAAAUUGGUUGUA
Long non-coding RNA from Saccostrea cuccullata (small rock oyster), 503 nucleotides. RefSeq lists it as uncharacterized. The record is from RefSeq and is a predicted model, not a curated record. NCBI's taxonomy places the organism in Eukaryota, Metazoa, Mollusca, Bivalvia, Ostreida, Ostreidae. The transcript is spliced from 3 exons.